RNAcentral lists this ribosomal RNA (670 nucleotides) under uncultured bacterium. Its description in RNAcentral is "bacterial SSU rRNA". It matches the Rfam family "Bacterial small subunit ribosomal RNA", at positions 60 to 722 of the family's 1533-position model. The record is from RNAcentral.
AGUCGACGGACUGGUCAAUUUAUUGGACAGUUGGUGGCGAAAGGGUUAGUAACGGGUAGGUAACGUACCCUGUGCUUUGGGAUAGCGUCAGUUGCUUCGGCAACUUUCCGAAAGGGGCGGUAAUACCAAAUAAUAUCAUUUGUCGAUAGGCAGAUGAUCAAAGAUUUAUCGGCAUAGGAGCGGCCUGCCUCCUAUCAGCUUGUUGGUGAGGUAACGGCUCACCAAGGCAGCGACGGGUAGCGGGACUGAGAGGUUGGCCCGCAACAUCGGGACUGAGACACUGCCCGGACCUCCACGGAGGGCUGCAGUAACGAAUAUUGUGCAAUGGGCGAAAGCCUGACACAGCGACGCCGCGUGUAGGAGGAAGUCCCUCGGGAUGUAAACUACUGUCAGGGGGAAGAAAGUGCGCUUCGGCGCAUUGAUCUAACCCAGAGGAAGUCACGGCUAACUUCGUGCCAGCAGCCGCGGUAAGACGAAGGUGGCAAGCGUUGUUCGGUAUCACUGGGCUUAAAGCGUGUGUAGGCGGAAAUGUAAGCGUUGCGUGAAAUCCCCCGGCUUAACCGGGGAACUGCGCAACGAACUACUUUUCUUGAGGCAAGUANGGGUGCAUGGAACUCUUGGUGGAGCGGUGNAAUGCGNANAUAUCANGAGGAACGCCAGUGGAGAAAUC